Molecule: ribosomal RNA, 511 nt
Filed under: uncultured bacterium
Lineage: Bacteria
Description: bacterial SSU rRNA
Rfam family: Bacterial small subunit ribosomal RNA
Source: RNAcentral
AUUGAACGCUGGCGGCAUGCUUUACACAUGCAAGUCGAACGGCAGCGCGGGGGCAACCCUGGCGGCGAGUGGCGAACGGGUGAGUAAUGUAUCGGAACGUAUCCUGUAAUGGGGGAUAACCAGUCGAAAGAUUGGGUAAUACCGCAUACGCACGAGAGUGGAAAGUAGGGGAUCGCAAGACCUUACGUUAUAGGAGCGGCCGAUAUCUGAUUAGCUAGUUGGUGGGGUAAAGGCCUACCAAGGCGACGAUCAGUAGCUGGUCUGAGAGGACGACCAGCCACACUGGGACUGAGACACGGCCCAGACUCCUACGGGAGGCAGCAGUGGGGAAUUUUGGACAAUGGGCGAAAGCCUGAUCCAGCCAUGCCGCGUGCAGGAAGAAGGCCUUCGGGUUGUAAACUGCUUUAGUCUAGGAAAAAGGGGUGCGAGGUUAAUACCCUCGUGCUUUGAUGGUACUGGAAGAAUAAGCACCGGCUAACUACGUGCCAGCAGCCGCGGUAAAACGAGAGUA